RNAcentral lists this ribosomal RNA (253 nucleotides) under uncultured bacterium. RNAcentral describes it as "partial 16S ribosomal RNA". It matches the Rfam family "Bacterial small subunit ribosomal RNA", at positions 524 to 776 of the family's 1533-position model. The record is from RNAcentral.
UACAGAGGGGGCAGGCGUUGUUCGGAAUUACUGGGCGUAAAGGGCGCGUAGGCGGCCUUCUAAGUCGAACGUGAAAUCCCCGGGCUUAACCCGGGAACUGCGUCCGAGACUGGAGGGCUCGAAUCCGGGAGAGGGAUGUGGAAUUCCAGGUGUAGCGGUGAAAUGCGUAGAUAUCUGGAGGAACAUCGGUGGCGAAGGCGGCAUCCUGGACCGGUAUUGACGCUGAGGCGCGAAAGCCAGGGGAGCAAACGGG